AGGAUGAGUCUGAGGUUGCAAUCCAGCAGAAAUCAUUAAUAGUACACAAUUCAGAAGAGGGUGCCAUAGUUUAUAAGCAGCCGUCAGGUGUACCCCAGUCAGAGGAGGGACAGAACAGUCUUCCUAUCAGGUAAAAGUACCAGAUUCUGAGAUACAAGCAUAGUAAAGAUAGAAUUUUUCCUUUCACAUGUCUCGAAGGUACCUCUUGAGGAAGUAAACUCAAAAUAGUGUGU
This 233-nucleotide long non-coding RNA is filed under the name Capsicum annuum. Its description in RNAcentral is "long non-coding RNA (CANN_LNC022047)". The record is from RNAcentral. Lineage: Eukaryota; Viridiplantae; Streptophyta; Magnoliopsida; Solanales; Solanaceae.